GGAAUUACGGAUGAAAAUCAGGGAUUGAUUUUUGGAAGGUGGAUUUGUGAGUAAUUAUUUUUAUAGUAUUAAUAAAUGAAGGGUGGAAUAACAUGUGUACAUAUUGCCCGUCGCUCUCGUUAUUUUUGAGAUAAGUCGUAACAUAGUUGAUGAACUGGAAAGUGUAUCUUUUUGA
Molecule: ribosomal RNA, 175 nt
Filed under: Brachoria n. sp. Wagon
Lineage: Eukaryota; Metazoa; Arthropoda; Diplopoda; Polydesmida; Xystodesmidae
Description: partial small subunit ribosomal RNA gene
Source: RNAcentral